This is a small nucleolar RNA of 96 nucleotides. It matches the Rfam family "A. fumigatus snoRNA Afu_335".
UUUCAUGAUGAAUAUCCAGAUAGGGACAGCUUAUGCUACAAGCAUGUGAUGAGAGCUGGACGAAUAAUUUUAGUAGAUGCUUCGUGUUUUCUGAAA